UACAGAGGUGGCAAGCGUUGUUCGGAAUUACUGGGCGUAAAGGGCGCGUAGGCGGCCUUGUAAGUCCUGUGUGAAAUCCCCCGGCUCAACUGGGGAACUGCACAGGAGACUGCUUGGCUUGAGUUCGGGAGAGGGAAGCGGAAUUCCGGGUGUAGCGGCGAAAUGCGUAGAUAUCCGGAGGAACACCGGUGGCGAAGGCGGCUUCCUGGACCGACACUGACGCUGAGGAGCGAAAGCGUGGGGAGCGAACAGG
RNAcentral lists this ribosomal RNA (253 nucleotides) under uncultured bacterium. RNAcentral's name for it is "partial 16S ribosomal RNA". It matches the Rfam family "Bacterial small subunit ribosomal RNA", at positions 524 to 776 of the family's 1533-position model. The record is from RNAcentral.